CCUACGGGUGGCAGCAGUGAGGAAUAUUGGUCAAUGGGCGUAAGCCUGAACCAGCCAAGUCGCGUGAGGGAUGAAGGUUCUAUGGAUCGUAAACCUCUUUUAUAAGGGAAUAAAGUGUGGGACGUGUCCUCUUUUGUAUGUACCUUAUGAAUAAGGAUCGGCUAACUCCGUGCCAGCAGCCGCGGUAAUACGGAGGAUCCGAGCGUUAUCCGGAUUUAUUGGGUUUAAAGGGUGCGUAGGCGGCCUUUUAAGUCAGCGGUAAAAUCGCGGGGCUCAACCUCGCUCCGCCGUUGAAACUGGCGUGCUGGAGUGGGCGAGAAGUAUGCGGAAUGCGUGGUGUAGCGGUGAAAUGCAUAGAUAUCACGCAGAACUCCGAUUGCGAAGGCAGCAUACCGGAGCCCAACUGACGCUGAAGCACGAAAGCGUGGGUAUCGAACAGGAUUAGAUACCCCAGUAGUC
This 459-nucleotide ribosomal RNA is filed under the name uncultured bacterium. Its description in RNAcentral is "partial 16S ribosomal RNA". It matches the Rfam family "Bacterial small subunit ribosomal RNA", at positions 338 to 795 of the family's 1533-position model. The record is from RNAcentral.